Molecule: transfer RNA, 73 nt
Filed under: Ovis aries (sheep)
Lineage: Eukaryota; Metazoa; Chordata; Mammalia; Artiodactyla; Bovidae
Rfam family: tRNA
About the family: Transfer RNA (tRNA) molecules are approximately 80 nucleotides in length. Their secondary structure includes four short double-helical elements and three loops (D, anti-codon, and T loops).
Source: Rfam by way of RNAcentral
CCCCUGGUGGUCCAGUGGUUAAGACUCUGGACUUCCAGUGCCGGGGACACAGGUUCAAUCCCUGGUCAGGGAA